Transfer RNA from Yarrowia lipolytica, 72 nucleotides. It matches the Rfam family "tRNA". From Rfam's summary of the family: Transfer RNA (tRNA) molecules are approximately 80 nucleotides in length. Lineage: Eukaryota; Fungi; Ascomycota; Dipodascomycetes; Dipodascales. The record is from Rfam.
GCCUUCGUGGCCAAGUGGUAAGGCGCAGCACUAGUAAUGCUGAGAUCAUCAGUUCAAAUCUGGUCGAAGGCA